Molecule: ribosomal RNA, 497 nt
Filed under: uncultured bacterium
Lineage: Bacteria
Description: partial 16S ribosomal RNA
Rfam family: Bacterial small subunit ribosomal RNA
Source: RNAcentral
GAUGAACGCUGGCGGCGUGCCUAAUACAUGCAAGUCGAGCGAACAGAUGAGGAGCUUGCUCCUCUGACGUUAGCGGCGGACGGGUGAGUAACACGUGGAUAACCUACCUAUAAGACUGGGAUAACUUCGGGAAACCGGAGCUAAUACCGGAUAAUAUAUUGAACCGCAUGGUUCAAUAGUGAAAGACGGUUUUGCUGUCACUUAUAGAUGGAUCCGCGCCGCAUUAGCUAGUUGGUAAGGUAACGGCUUACCAAGGCGACGAUGCGUAGCCGACCUGAGAGGGUGAUCGGCCACACGGGAACUGAGACACGGACCAGACUCCUACGGGAGGCAGCAGUAGGGAAUCUUCCGCAAUGGGCGAAAGCCUGACGGAGCAACGCCGCGUGAGUGAUGAAGGUCUUCGGAUCGUAAAACUCUGUUAUUAGGGAAGAACAAAUGUGUAAGUAACUAUGCACGUCUUGACGGUACCUAAUCAGAAAGCCACGGCUAACUACGUG